AUGAGAUAAGGAGAAGAAAUUGAUAUCGAAACUUAAAGAGACGGCAUUAUCAUUGAAUUAAAUAAAAUUCUGUUGUGGAUCAGGGAAAAAUAUUAAAUAGGAGACUGAAUUUUUUAAGCUGCAAAAAACUCGAAAUUAUAGAGUUUUAUAUACUGCUGGAAGAACUCCAUCAACUGUCC
Long non-coding RNA from Wyeomyia smithii (pitcher-plant mosquito), 179 nucleotides. RefSeq lists it as uncharacterized. The record is from RefSeq and is a predicted model, not a curated record. The transcript is spliced from 3 exons. NCBI's taxonomy places the organism in Eukaryota, Metazoa, Arthropoda, Insecta, Diptera, Culicidae.